AGCGAACGCUGGCGGCAGGCUUAACACAUGCAAGUCGAACGGGCGUAGCAAUACGUCAGUGGCAGACGGGUGAGUAACGCGUGGGAACGUACCUUUUGGUUCGGAACAACCCAGGGAAACUUGGGCUAAUACCGGAUAAGCCCUUACGGGGAAAGAUUUAUCGCCGAAAGAUCGGCCCGCGUCUGAUUAGCUAGUUGGUGAGGUAACGGCUCACCAAGGCGACGAUCAGUAGCUGGUCUGAGAGGAUGAUCAGCCACAUUGGGACUGAGACACGGCCCAAACUCCUACGGGAGGCAGCAGUGGGGAAUAUUGGACAAUGGGCGGCAAGCCUGAUCCAGCCAUGCCGCGUGAGUGAUGAAGGCCCUAGGGUUGUAAAGCUCUUUUGUGCGGGAAGAUAAUGACGGUACCGCAAGAAUAAGCCCCCGGCUAACUUCGUGCCAGCAGCCGCUGUAAC
This 454-nucleotide ribosomal RNA is filed under the name uncultured bacterium. RNAcentral describes it as "bacterial SSU rRNA". It matches the Rfam family "Bacterial small subunit ribosomal RNA", at positions 29 to 524 of the family's 1533-position model. The record is from RNAcentral.